ACGGGAGGCAGCAGUGAGGAAUAUUGGUCAAUGGACGAGAGUCUGAACCAGCCAAGUAGCGUGCAGGAUGACGGCCCUCCGGGUUGUAAACUGCUUUUAGUUGGGAAUAAAAGAAGCGACGUGUCGCUUAUUGUAUGUACCAUCAGAAAAAGGACCGGCUAAUUCCGUGCCAGCAGCCGCGGUAAUACGGAAGGUCCGGGCGUUAUCCGGAUUUAUUGGGUUUAAAGGGUGCGUAGGCGGGCUGUUAAGUCAGCGGUGAAACCCCCGGGCUCAACCCGGGGACUGCCAUUGAAACUGGCGGCCUUGAGUACGUUGGGAGUGCGCGGAAUGUGUGGUGUAGCGGUGAAAUGCAUAGAUAUCACACAGAACACCGAUCGCGUAGGCAGCGCACUACGCCGCAACUGACGCUGAGGCACGAAGGCGCGGGGAUCGAACAGGAUUAGAUACCCUGGUA
This 454-nucleotide ribosomal RNA is filed under the name uncultured Alloprevotella sp. Its description in RNAcentral is "partial 16S ribosomal RNA". It matches the Rfam family "Bacterial small subunit ribosomal RNA", at positions 341 to 792 of the family's 1533-position model. Lineage: Bacteria; Pseudomonadati; Bacteroidota; Bacteroidia; Bacteroidales; Prevotellaceae. The record is from RNAcentral.